RNAcentral lists this transfer RNA (72 nucleotides) under Candidatus Aenigmatarchaeota archaeon. RNAcentral describes it as "tRNA-Met". It matches the Rfam family "tRNA". From Rfam's summary of the family: Transfer RNA (tRNA) molecules are approximately 80 nucleotides in length. Their secondary structure includes four short double-helical elements and three loops (D, anti-codon, and T loops). Further hydrogen bonds mediate the characteristic L-shaped molecular structure. tRNAs have two regions of fundamental functional importance: the anti-codon, which is responsible for specific mRNA codon recognition, and the 3' end, to which the tRNAs corresponding amino acid is attached (by aminoacyl-tRNA synthetases). tRNAs cope with the degeneracy of the genetic code in two manners: having more than one tRNA (with a specific anti-codon) for a particular amino acid; and 'wobble' base-pairing, i.e. permitting non-standard base-pairing at the 3rd anti-codon position. The record is from RNAcentral. Lineage: Archaea; Nanobdellati; Candidatus Aenigmatarchaeota.
GCCGGGGUAGUUCAGUGGUAGAACGCCAGACUCAUAAUCUGGAGGUCGUGGGUUCAAAACCCAUCUCCGGCA